GGAUGCUCCCUGGCAAAGCGACGGGUCUAUGAGCACAACACGUUGAAAAUACGUUUUUUUUUUUGUCAUUGCUGGAAAGACAUUGAAAAGCAACUUUUCAACUCCUCUCGGUCACACUCUGUUCUGCGCUGUCUUCUCAAUCUCGUUCCACCCCAUGCCGGAUCUUCUGGUGUUAGUUUCAAGAUCGUGCCUUUAGAUGUUUUAUGUGCUGAUUACAGACCCAUUAUACUACACCGAUUCUAGCAAGACUUCAAUAAGAGAACUAUGCUACAAAUGAGAUAUUAGAACACACAAGACAAUUUGGGGGAAAAAAUAGGUUUAUUGAUUUGGACAAUCUUGUAGGUUGCUUUCAACUCUUUUCUGAUUCAGUGAGGACAGCAGUCCAUCUUAGCUUGAUCAAACUCUCCCACAAGCCAAGAUAAGCAAAAACCUUUUGACUUAUCUGAAAUGGCACUUUCCAUGGCUGCUGCUUUUAAUGCAAUGACAGGGGUGCCUCCACUAAGAGAGAACACAAAACGACAUAACCCAGCUCUACAGGCCACUCCACUGAGGCCAGGGUGGGAUGUGACCUCAUCCUCUCUCCUUUCCUCCUCAGUCACAUAAAACCCCAGGGCUCAUUUUCCACGUCAAAGCUUCUCCACCUACUUGAUGGACGAGGAACUGGAGGCGGACUCUCUGCGUUUAUGCUGGAAUGACAAAGAAUACACCAAACGCUGUCAGCCAUUGGUCCAGAACAUAUCUGCAUAAUUUCACAUGCAACUAUGACAGUGCCCAUUGGAACACUACCUAAAUGUAUUCUCUUUGACAAGUUCUAUUCAGCCAACUCCUGUUAGACAGCCGGGCUGUAUUCAUUAGGGUACACUAUAUCAGAACGUAUAGCGACGGACAACGAAAACAGGCAUUCCUCAUAGGACAAGCUCCGGUAGUCCCUCCUCGUUUAUAUCCGUUUUAUUCCGUAUGGUGCCUAAUGAAAACAACCCAGGUUUGUGUGUGUGGGGUGGGUUAAAAGACUUACUGAGUUGGGGGUGAGUGGGGCUCCCACCACGUCGAUGAUCUGCUCCUUGGCCUCCCCAUUGAUGUCAUCGGGGCCGGGCACCUCCAGGCCCCCCAGUCCUCAUCCCCCUGGGGGCCUGACAGGGCCCACCCCUCCUCCAGCCUUCAGCAGCAGGACCUUGUAGAAGUGGCGGGGCAUCUGUUGUUCGUACUCACAGUUACCAUGGGCCUGCUUCAGCUCCUAGACCAGCACCAUGCCAAUGAGCAGCUCAUUGAACAUCUGGACCAUCUCCUCCGUGGGCUUGGGGUUCAGGUCUACACAGAGAGAACAGAGUAGGGAAAGAUGGAAUUAGAAACACGCAGAAAGUAUCCCGCGUACCACUUUGAGCCCUGAUUUAGGUUGUGUGAAACCGCAAUGCAUUGUCAGUAACCAAAUAGUUUGCCUUGUUUUACUAUUCCUACAUGGAUAUGCAAACUCAAAAGGCGUUGUAACUCCACUACCUGGUAAGAGUGCGUUGGUAUUUUUGGGAUGGUCUCUCUUACAGGUUUAGCCAAUUUUUUUUGUCAAUGCUUUCUGAUUUCUGUUUUCUCUAUUCAGAUUGGUGUGGUAGAUGUUAUUUCUAUAGCUUGUGUGAGAU
This 1631-nucleotide long non-coding RNA is filed under the name Salmo salar (Atlantic salmon). RNAcentral describes it as "lncRNA (ENSSSAG00000113540.1)". Lineage: Eukaryota; Metazoa; Chordata; Actinopteri; Salmoniformes; Salmonidae. The record is from RNAcentral.